AUACUUCUCUGGCAGGGGAGAUACCUUGAUCACGAAGGUGGUUUUCGCAGGGUGAGGCUUAUCCAUUGCACUCUGGAUGUGCUGACCCCUGUGAUUUCCCCAAAUGCGGGAACCUCUACUGCAUAAUUUGUGGUAGUGGGGGACUGCAUUCACACUCUCA
This is a small nuclear RNA of Spermophilus dauricus (Daurian ground squirrel), 160 nucleotides long. Its record names the gene U1. It matches the Rfam family "U1 spliceosomal RNA". From Rfam's summary of the family: U1 is a small nuclear RNA (snRNA) component of the spliceosome (involved in pre-mRNA splicing). Its 5' end forms complementary base pairs with the 5' splice junction, thus defining the 5' donor site of an intron. Lineage: Eukaryota; Metazoa; Chordata; Mammalia; Rodentia; Sciuridae. The record is from Ensembl.